This 1462-nucleotide long non-coding RNA is filed under the name Lonchura striata (white-rumped munia). Its description in RNAcentral is "domestica (Bengalese finch) lncRNA (ENSLSDG00000003278.1)". Lineage: Eukaryota; Metazoa; Chordata; Aves; Passeriformes; Estrildidae. The record is from RNAcentral.
AAACCAGUACAUCCCAGUAUCCCCCAGUGUCCCUGUCCCCAGUGUCCCCAGUCUGUCCCAGUCCCUCCCAGUGCUCCCAGUACCUCCCAGUAUCCCUGUCCCCAGUGCUCCCAGUCUGUCCCAGUCUGUCCCAGUCUGUCCCAGUGUCCCCAGUCCAUCCCAGUCCGUCCCAGUCCCCCCAGUACCUCUCGAUGUCCCUGUCCCAGUCUGUCCCAGUCCGUCCCAGUCCGUCCCAGUCCGUCCCAGUGCUCCCAGUGCUCCCAGUACCUCUUGAUGUCCCUGUCCCAGUCUGUCCCAGUCUGUCCCAGUCCCCCCCAGUCCUUCCCAGUCCCCCCAGUACCUCUCGAUGUCCCUGUCCCCAGUCUGUCCCAGUCCGUCCCAGUCCCUCCCAGUCCGUCCUAGUGCUCCCAGUGCUCCCAGUACCUCUCGAUGUCCCUGUCCCAGUCUGUCCCAGUCCGUCCCAGUCCGUCCCAGUCCGUCCCAGUGCUCCCAGUGCUCCCAGUACCUCUCGAUGUCCCUGUCCCCAGUCUGUCCCAGUCCGUCCCAGUCCCUCCCAGUCCCUCCCAGUGCUCCCAGUACCUCUCGAUGUCCCUGUCCCCAGUCCCUCCCAGUCUGUCCCAGUCCGUCCCAGUCCCCUCCAGUGCCUCCCAGUCCCUCCCAGUGCUCCCAGUACCUCUCGAUGUCCCUGUCACCAGUGUCCCCAGUCUGUCCCAGUCCGUCCCAGUGCUCCCAGUCCGUCCCUGUCCCCAGUCUGUCCCAGUCCCCCCCAGUCCCUCCCAGUCCCUCCCAGUCUGUCCCAGUCCCCCCAGUACCUCUCGAUGUCCCUGUCACCAGUGUCCCCAGUCCGUCCCAGUCUGUCCCAGUCCGUCCCAGUCCUCCCAGUCCCUCCCAGUGCUCCCAGUCCCUCCCAGUGCUCCCAGUACCUCCCAGUGUCCCUGUCCCCAGUCUGUCCCAGUGUCACCAGUCCCUCCCAGUCCCUCCCAGUCCGUCCCAGUCCCCCCAGUACCUCUCAAUGUCCCUGUCACCAGUGUCCCCAGUCUGUCCCAGUGUCCCCAGUCUGUCCCAGUCCCUCCCAGUGCUCCCAGUACCUCUCGAUGUCCCUGUCCCAGUCUGUCCCAGUCUGUCCCAGUCCCUCCCAGUGCUCCCAGUACCUCUCCAUGUCCCUGUCACCAGUGUCCCCAGUCUGUCCCAGUCUGUCCCAGUCUGUCCCAGUCUGUCCCAGUGCUCCCAGUCCCUCCCAGUGCUCCCAGUACCUCCCAGUAUCCCUGUCACCAGUGUCCCCAGUCCCUUCCAGUCCCUCCCAGUCCCUCCCAGUCCCUCCCAGUGCUCCCAGUACCUCUCCAUGUCCCUGUCCCCAGUGUCACCAGUGCUCCCAGUCCCCCCCAGUCCGUCCCCCCCCCUCCCAGUCCCUCCCAGUCCCUCCCAGUGCUCCCAGUGCCCCCAGUCCCCCCGCCCCCCCGGU